Molecule: long non-coding RNA, 657 nt
Organism: Culex pipiens pallens (northern house mosquito)
Lineage: Eukaryota; Metazoa; Arthropoda; Insecta; Diptera; Culicidae
Exons: 3
Source: RefSeq, a predicted model, not a curated record
AACAAAGCGUUGCGUAGACCGGUGACAAACGUCACGAGUGACAUUCGCGACGUGUGUCUGGGGAUGAUUCAGCGAAGAUGGAUGUAAACAAAAGAAAAAGAAUUUUGUUCCCGCACGAAACCGCGAUGUGUGCGACAUUGCGGUGCAGUUUGCUUUAAUUUAUUUAUAAUUUUGUGUUGUUAAAAAUGUAAAUUGAAAAGCAGAUCCCAAACUAUCGCUAUCGUGGAGGUUUGGAACCAGCUGCUACGGGGCAGUGACUAGUAAGAGAGCAGAGCGGGCAAGUGUGACCUGGGCCUGGCGGAAGAAGACCAAUCUUUUAGCUCGGCAUGCACCCACAGAGAAACAGGGUGUCAGCUCAAAAGACUUCUUUUACUCGUCGCAACAUUCUAAAAGAUUGCGGUCGCCAUGAACCAGGAGGAAGUCGGUUCACACUGCCAGCUAUGGCUCUGGCUGGAUUCGGAGUGGAUGGUAAGUGGUGGUCACCAAGAGCGAGAUGGCAUCGUCGGUAUCAACGCUGCUCUGGAUCAUUCUUUCAUCCGACGACAAAGCCAAAAACCGUCCCAGAAGUUUCACCAGAGGAAGAAGUAGUCGUCGAAGGUCGCCAGCACAAGCGGGACAUCGUCCACCUCCGGCGGAGGGCUCGUUCGAGACUGGGGA